UGCCAACAGAGGGAAGCAAAGCGGCGACGUGGAGCAAAACCCUAAAAGCAGUCUCAGUUCGGAUCGCAGGCUGCAACUCGCCUGCGUGAAGUUGGAAUUGCUAGUAAUCGCGGAUCAGCAUGCCGCGGUGAAUACGUUCCCGGGCCUUGUACACACCGCCCGUCACACCAUGGGAGUUUGUAACACCCGAAGUCAGUAUCCUAACCGCGAAGGGGGGAGCUGCCGAAGGUGGGAUAAGCGACUGGGGUGAAGUCGUAACAAGGUACC
RNAcentral lists this ribosomal RNA (267 nucleotides) under uncultured bacterium. RNAcentral's name for it is "partial 16S ribosomal RNA". It matches the Rfam family "Bacterial small subunit ribosomal RNA", at positions 1235 to 1500 of the family's 1533-position model. The record is from RNAcentral.